CCUUUCUCCUCGUCCGUUCACUUCCUCACUUCCCUAAAAAAAACCUCUUCCUCACCAUCUGGCAGAGCGCCGCCGCCGCCCCUCCCCUUCCCGGCCACCGCCGUCGUCCCGGCGCCCCACCCCUAGCUCAAGUACCGCCGCGUCCCGGUCGCCCCUCCCAUCCUCUCUAUUCCCGGCUGGCGCUCGAUUCCAGGUCUGGCCCUCGAUUUUUCCCCAUACCCGAAAUCCCCAACCAGACCAAACCCUCCGUCGUCUCCCUCGCCAGCCAUGGAGGCGGCGGCGGCCGCCGCAUCGGCUGCAGCGGCGGCUGCCAAGGACGCGGCCUUGGCCGCUUCGGUUGCAGCGGCGGCUGCUGCCAAGGACGCGGCGGCGGCGGCGGUGACUGCAAAGGAGGCGACGGAUGCCGCCAAGGACGCGGCUGCGGCGGCUUCGGCUGCGGCUUUAAACGCCAAGGAGGCAGCUGCGGCGGCCUCUGCUGCGGCUUUAAACGCCAAGGAGGCAGCCGUGAAGGCCUCUGCUGCGGCCUUGGAUGCCGAGGAGGCAGCUGCUGUGGCGGUGACUGCAGGCCAGGCGGCGACCGCUGCGGCGGCAGCUAUGCAAGCUUCCCAGAAGCGUAGGUUUGCGGAUGCGGCGUUGGAUGCCAAGGAGGCAGCGCCCGUGGCGGUGACUGCUGGGCAGGCAGCAGGGCCAAUAAAUGCCGAGGAGGCAGCGCCUUUGGCGGUGAAUGCAGGGCGGCUGGCGGCCGCUUCGGCGGUGGCGACGCAAGCUUCCAAGAAGCGUAAGUCUGCUGCUGUGGCGUUAAAUUACAAGGUGCCAGCGCCUGCGACGGUGACUGCAGUUGAGGCGACGCCGGUGCCAUUGCAAGCAUCCAACAAAUGUAAGUUCCCGAUCAUUGACGUGGACCAAGAUCCACCAGGGAGCAGAGACGUCGAUGAUGCGGGGAGUGUCGAUCACAUCGGCCGCCUCCCGGAUGCCGUUCUCUGCAGUAUCGUCUCUCUUCUCCCCACCAAGGAAGGUGCCCGCACGCAAGUCAUCUCUCGCCGAUGGCGUCCGCUAUGGCACUCCGCUCCUCUCAACCUCGUGGUGGACCAAGAACUCAACAGCAACAACCACAAUUUGGGCGACUUGAUUUCAAAGAUCCUCUCUGUGCAUCCUGGCCCCGCACGCCGCUUCUCGCUCUGCCUCUCUAGUAGCAAGUAUCAUGGCAAGAUCAAAGGCUGGCUUAGUUCCCAAGCCCUGGACAAGCUACAGGAGUUUGAGCUCAUCCCCAAGCACUGGUUUGACGUCAGGGAUACGUUCUACCUACUGCCAUUGUCCGUCUACCGCUUAGCGCCCACGCUCCGUGUGGCCAAGUUUGGCGGCUGCCGUUUCUCCGACUGGAUUGUGAAGCUGUCGCUCAAGUUUCCGUGCCUCAAGCAGCUCACCCUGGAUAGAGUCGCCAUCUCGGAGGACGCUCUCCAGAGCAUGCUCUCUGACUGCUAUGCCUUGGAGAGCCUUGAGCUAAAGAAAAAUUCUGGCUUUCGUCGCCUCUGCAUCAGCUCCCAAACUCUUAAGAGUGUAGGCUUUUGCACUAACUGGUUUAAAGAAAGUGUCCCUUUGCAAGAGUUGGUCAUCGAGGAUGCCCCGUGCCUUGAGAGAUUGCUACCACUUGUUCCACAGGUUGGCCCAAGGACCAUACGGGUAAUCUCGGCACCUAAACUGAACAUAUUGGGUGCACUCUCUACAGGCAUAACAGAACUUCAGCUUGGAACCACAGUUUUCCGGAAUAUGAUUGCUGUUGACUUGACAACCAAAAUGCACAGCGUGAGGGUGUUGGUUCUUGACUACACUAAUCUGGAUAUAGUGGUUAACUUCCUCAAGUGCUUCCCCUGCUUGGAGAGGCUGCAUGUCUUUUUCCAGUCAAGGAUGAGUUGUAUUAACCCCCAGGAGUAUGACCCACCGGAACCGAUUGAAUGCCUUGAGCUGCAUCUCAAAGAAGUACUGUUGAAGAAUUAUAAUGGCACCAUCCCUUUGUGUAUUGACUUUGCCAAGUUCUUUGUUUUGAAUGCGAAAGUGCUAAAGAAAAUGAAAAUCACAUUGCCUUACCACCGGCAGUAUAACUGGUUUGCUAAUCAACACCGGCUGCUGCGGACCAAAGAUAGAAUUUCUCAAGAUGCUCGGAUUGAACUGAGAUGCGGCAAUAAUGUUUAUUUCAGAGACAACAGGAACACCCAUGAUUUGUCAAUGGCUGAUCCUUUUGACGUGCCCUCCAGCGGAUGUAAAAAGUGUAGUGGAUCCCCAUUUUGAAGAUUGCCUUGCCUAGUGUUCAAAGCCCAACUUUAUGUCGCUGGUUUUGUUUCUAGCCUGACGCUCAAAGAAAGGAUCUACUUCACUCAGUGAUGGAAUGUUUUGUGGCCUAGUCAGAAUUAUACCUGGUGGUGGAGGAGGUGGUGUCUAAGCUCAGGCUUCAAAUCCGAACUUGCCGCUUGAAGGGGGUCGAGGCAUUGAGCAGUGCGAAUUCAGAGGUGCAGUGGCCUUGACAUAGGGGAUCAGCUUUGGCAGGAAGCUGUGAGAUCAUCAUGUGAAAGACACGAAGGAAGCUGUGAUGUUUGACGAGGACACUAGGUUUCUGGACGAAGAAGACUAAGCUGCAACUGCGAAUGUCUUGAGGUCUGAAAUGCAGUUGACAGAGAGUUGAUAUCCGCUGAGGUUUGCACCACUGGAAUCUUUGCCGAUUAAUUAAGCGAACCAGAAUUGGAUUUCGAUGCCCGGUCACUGGACCGGCAGUAUGAUUUUCAUUCCGAUGGUUUAAUUUCUCACAGUAUGCUAGUAUUUAGGUGCAGUAGAAUUCCACGGAUUUAAGGAUGAUUAUUUGAUGGGAUGCAGACAAAUUAUGCGGGUUACUUGAGGUGUGGAAUUCUAUACUAUCUCCGUAACUAAAUAUAAGACGUUUUUGCAGUUCAGUAACAUGUACAGGCAUGGGUGUGUAUGUAUUGAGGUCACAUCCCAGAAAUGUGUGGCUUGGAUGGAGUCUGAAGAUGGAAACUGGG
RNA transcript from Triticum aestivum (bread wheat), 3029 nucleotides. It is a transcript of the gene named F-box/FBD/LRR-repeat protein At3g26920, with no coding region annotated. The transcript is spliced from 6 exons. The record is from RefSeq and is a predicted model, not a curated record. Lineage: Eukaryota; Viridiplantae; Streptophyta; Magnoliopsida; Poales; Poaceae.